UUAAGUUCAGCGGGUAGCCCUACCUGAUCCGAGGUCAACCUGAGAAGAUGGGGUUGCUGGCAGGCAACCGCCUGGGUCUCCAGAAGCGAGAUGUGUUACUACGCUUGAAGCCGAAUGGCACCGCCACUGAUUUUACGGCCUGCCUGUAGCAGGUAAGGCCUAAUACCAAGCAGAGCUUGAGGGUUGUAAUGACGCUCGAA
This 200-nucleotide unclassified non-coding RNA is filed under the name Helotiales sp. RNAcentral's name for it is "partial internal transcribed spacer 2". Lineage: Eukaryota; Fungi; Ascomycota; Leotiomycetes; Helotiales. The record is from RNAcentral.